This 253-nucleotide ribosomal RNA is filed under the name uncultured bacterium. Its description in RNAcentral is "partial 16S ribosomal RNA". It matches the Rfam family "Bacterial small subunit ribosomal RNA", at positions 524 to 776 of the family's 1533-position model. The record is from RNAcentral.
UACGAAGGGGGCUAGCGUUGCUCGGAAUCACUGGGCGUAAAGGGUGCGUAGGCGGGUCUUUAAGUCAGGGGUGAAAUCCUGGAGCUCAACUCCAGAACUGCCUUUGAUACUGAAGAUCUUGAGUUCGGGAGAGGUGAGUGGAACUGCGAGUGUAGAGGUGAAAUUCGUAGAUAUCCGGAGGAACACCAGUGGCGAAGGCGACUUUCUGGCCUGUUCUUGACGCUGAGGCGCGAAAGCUAGGGGAGCAAACGGG